Molecule: small RNA, 1803 nt
Filed under: Pongo abelii (Sumatran orangutan)
Lineage: Eukaryota; Metazoa; Chordata; Mammalia; Primates; Hominidae
Description: processed transcript
Source: RNAcentral
GAACUCAACAGGGUGUGUUUUUGUGUCACUGGUGUCCCUGAGCCGGAGGUGAACUGUCAGGGCUGCAGCAGGCAGAAUGGCCCCGUCUGGGACUGAGCCACCUGGGAGCUGUCGGUGGGGGUUGGGGCAGCCUUCCCACCUCCACCUGGGUUUCUCUUCACACUCAGGAGGUAGAUCUGGCCUCGGAAGUGGCCUUAGAGGUGGUGUCGACAGCAGAGCCUGGCGUGUGGUUGGAGGCUGAGGCCCCGGUGGCCCUGGUGGCUCAGCCUCAGCCCCUGCCUGCCACAGCUGGUGUGAAGAGGGAGAGCGUGGGCAUGGAGGUGGCGGUGCUGACCGACGACCCGCUGCCUGUUGUGGACCAGCAGCAGGUGCUGGCCCGUCUGCAGCUGUUGGAGCAGCAGGUUGUGGGUGGAGAGCAGGCCAAGAACAAGGACCUGAAGGAGAAGCACAAGCGGCGCAAGCGCUACGCAGACGAGCGCAGGAAGCAGCUGGUGGCUGCCCUGCAGAACUCGGAUGAGGACAGUGGGGACUGGGUGCUGCUCAAUGUCUACGACUCCAUCCAGGAGGAAGUGCGGGCCAAGAGCAAGCUGCUGGAGAAGAUGCAGAGGAAGCUUCGGGCAGCAGAGGUGGAGAUCAAAGAUCUGCAGUCCGAGUUUCAGCUGGAGAAGAUUGAUUACUUGGCCACCAUCCGCCGGCAGGAGCGUGACUCCAUGCUCUUGCAGCAGCUCCUGGAGCAGGUGCAGCCCCUGAUUCGCAGGGACUGUAACUACAGCAACCUGGAGAAGAUUCGGCGUGAGUCCUGCUGGGACGAAGAUAACGGCUUCUGGAAGAUCCCACAUCCCGUCAUCACAAAAACCAGCCUCCCAGUAGUUUCAACCGGGCCACAGAACAAACCAGCCUGCAAAACCUCUGCAGCAGACAACGGCGAGCUGAACAUGGAGGAGGACCGCUACAGGCUCAUGCUCAGUCGGAGCAACAGUGAAAACAUUGCCAGCAACUACUUCCGGUCUAAGCGGGCCAGCCAGAUCCUCAGCACAGACGCCAGGAAGAGCCUCACACAUCACAACUCGCCACCAGGCCUCAGCUGCCCACUCAGCAACAACUCUGCCAUCCCACCCACCCAGGCCGCUGAAAUGCCCCAGCCCCGGCCCUUCCGCCUCGAGUCCCUCGACAUCCCUUUCACCAAGGCCAAGCGUAAGAAAAGCAAAAGCAACUUUGGCAGUGAGCCUCUGUGAGCACAGCUGCUUGCCGUUGCCUGCCUUAUAGGCAUCUAGAGACUGCCAGGCCCUCCCAGGGCAGCCCCAACCAGGCCUCCUCCCACCUGCCACACAGCACUCCGGGGCCUGAGGGCUCCCUCAGCCCUGGGAAGACACAUUCUCUUCCCUGUUCCCGAGAGCCCACCUCUGCCCUGGGCAGGAGCCCCUUGGAGGCUGUAUAGUCCUCCUUAGAGAGGCCUGCUCCAGCUGUUCACACCACAUCAGUGUUUCCGUCUGCUCACCUGCCACGGAGCCCACACCCAUGCCCACCAGUGUUGGUCUUUGCCUCAAAGCCUCAGACCUGCUUCACAGCCUUCACCAGCCCUGAUGGAGAGGGCAGCAGCUGCCACGUGAAAGAAGCUCAAUAUCAGCUGGGAAGGAACUGUGCCUCUGUCUGACUGGCCCCACUUCCUAAGAACUGCCCUGCCCCAUGGGGUGGCACAGGGGUCCCACAGCAGGUCUUCCUGCACUGCCCACCCCUGGCUGGUCUGUGGCCCAAGGAAGGCCACUCCACAUUAAGCUGCCCAAUAAACUGCUUUUAAGAUAA